This is a long non-coding RNA of Camelus dromedarius (Arabian camel), 7635 nucleotides long. RefSeq lists it as uncharacterized. Lineage: Eukaryota; Metazoa; Chordata; Mammalia; Artiodactyla; Camelidae. The record is from RefSeq and is a predicted model, not a curated record. The transcript has 4 exons.
UGCCAGUCCAGCCCUGUUUCUGCUUCCGUCACACCGACAGGAUCAGGCUCUGUGCUCGCUCAAGAACAAGCUGCAGGGACGUGUUCUGGAUUCCCGUGGGUGUGAAGGAAGACCAUGACUGAAGAAAUAAAGCAAGUCAAGUUUGUCUUCAAUGACCUUAUAAGAGAAAUCUUUAAUUACCUGCACCAUGCUGACUUAUGAUAAGGCAAUGGGAAUAAAGCAAGACUACAUCAGGAGAGGCUACACUACAUUGGACAUGCUCUGAGUCUGAAAAGCCAAACCUCAUUCAAAGCUGGAAUCUCUGCAGGCAUGUGUGGCUGGUACUCACAGGUCCCCAUACAGCUGUGCACAGCUUCCUACCUGAGGGAGGCUUCCUGCACGCAGCUGCUGAAGACAUCGCCUGUCCUAGAGCUUGAUUGGAGCCCAGAGGCUGCUGGAAACUCGUAGCUUUGUUGGUUGAAGCGGUCCGGUGCUUUGAUUUGGGAUCUUUAACUGGUUUAGUCCAGACCAGGGCCUCCCCAACCUGGAGAGCAGCUCCCAACUUCUGGGCCACCUCAACCAUCUUGUGUCCACAUGGGAAGGAAAAACAAAGUCACAGGUUGGUCAGAGCCACUGCAACAAAGAAAGUGAGCGCUGCGGCUGGAGAGCCCAGCGUAGGAAACAAGGGGAAUAUGUGAAGACAGCAGCUCAUUCAGCCCCCAGACGUGGCUCCUACUGCACCCUCUCCGGUUCCAGCACCACCACCUGCUCAGCCAUUCAGCUUGGAUACCUGGUGUCAUCUCCAGCAGUCCCCGCUCCACAGUUAACCAGCUGCCAAGUUCCACGAAUCCCACUUUUUGCAGCUCCUUUGGUGACACUGCCCUUGCUGAGUUAUGUCGGGUUUUCCAUCUCGUUCCCCAGGGGCAUGUCCCCACCUGCUUCCAGCCCCUUGCCACAGUGCUGCCAGGUAUCUCGCUGACAGACAGCAAAUGUGACCAUGGCACUAGCUACUUGAGCAGCCUCACUCCUCUCCAUCACUCAUAACCAUCAUCUUUAAACUGCUCUUCAGCAACAGAACACUCACCCCUUUCUAGUCAGUAUUUUCUGGAAGGCUGAUCUAUAAAACAAAAACAGCUGCUCUGGAAGCCCUGCCUGCUCCACCCACCCACCAACCAUGCACCUGCUUCUAGCAGACACAAGAGGAGAGCUAGGAAUACAUGGCCUCGGGGAGCACGUCUACAGCCCCUGUGCUGUACCCACGGCCCUCCGAGCUCUGACCCCAGACCACCUCCCCUGACCAGUCUCCCACUAACAGCCAGGUCCACCCUGCAGCUCCAGGGCUGCAGGCCUUCACUCAGGGGCUCCUCAGUCAUUCUGUGCUACUGAAUUCCAGCUCACCUUUCAAACCCCACUGUGAAGACUCUCUCUACUUCAUGAAAUCAGGAUUGCUACUCAUGUGCUACAGUACAGCUGUUUACACUCUUGUAUCCCAUUCCAGCUGGGCUCUCUGUAUUUGUACUCAGGUAAAUACCAAAUACCCACCACUCAACUUGCUUUCACAACCUUUCUCUUAUAAAUCAGAACACCAAAUGACCCAAAAAACCACCUGAGAACUACUGUCACUAAGAACAUGGAAACUGCUUUUAGGUGUACACUUAGUCAACUUGGUAUAUGGAGAAAUAGCCCCCAGAAAGAGUGUUUAGUCAAUACUUUUAUAGUAACAUGAAUAACAGACUGUAAUAAUGAUACCAAAACCAACAUACCAUUCACUGGCUGAUUGAUCAUAUAAUCCUCUCAUCAAUCCUAUGGGCUACAGCCAGUAACUAGUAGAGGCAGGACCCUCCCUAAUGCCCGAGAUCUUAACACUUGAUGAAAACUGGAGCUUAGAUGGGCUCAAUGUAUAUAAAACCGAGUCGUCAAGCCGAGGGAAAACCAUGGUACAAGGUGAACUAGGGAUCAGCCUGACUUAACCUGCUGGUCUUCAGGUGAAAUCCCCCCAAGUCCGGAGCAACAGCACGCUCUGUCGUCUCUCUCUCGUAUUUCUUCAGGCUCUAGGACGGUAACCCAGAUUCCCAUGGCAUCUGCAAGGGAGUGGCUUCCAUGGGACAUUUAACCACAUUUGACUCCUACGACUAACUCGCUCCACUCAUUACAGCCUGCGGAGGGGCCUCCAGGUAAACGUCUUACCAGCCAAGAGCAUGUAGAGCUCCCCCAUCUUGGGCUGGAAGUUGAUGGCGGCGCUGAGGAAGUGGAAAGCCGACGCGUACUGCUGCAUGGUCAAGUGCACGAGGCCCAAGUUGUACAGGAUCUUCCAGUCGAAGGGUGCCAAGUAGUUGGCUCGUUUCAGGCAGCUGAUGGCCUGGAGGAGAGGGGGGCCCUCCGUGAGAGGUGGGGCAAGCUGGGCAGCCCCAGUAACUAGGAACACAAAGCAGGAAGAGGACACUCACUGCCACGUAUUUCUUCUUGCCAAAGAAACACAUUCCGAUGUUAUUCCAGAGCGGAGGACUUUCUGGAACAGCACAAGCGACAACUCUGUAUUUGGUGAGGGCAACAUCAAAGUCCCCAUGGGUCUGCAUCAUGCUGCCUGCUGCCAAGAUGGCCUGAAAACGUGACAAGUUGGUGACUCAGUCAUUCCCAGAAGGCUGGAGCAGUGAAGCAGCCUUCCUGAGUCGAGACACUGAGCAGGCGCAUCAGCUCUGGGGGGCAAGAAGCUGCUUCCAGGGGCCUACAUGACACCCCAGCCACACGACAGACACUCCUGCCCCAACACCAGGGCUCUCCGGCAGGACAAGAACAGAGACAGUGUCGCUGAGCACCCAGCUCGUCUGUUUCCUACUUCUUGCCAGGAAAGUCAGUGCUUCAGAGAAAUAGGGUCUUCAAGUAAAAACUGCCAUCAACCUGUUCCCUGCAGCCCCUGCUUGGUAUCAAGGUGUUCUAGACAACUCACAUGCACCUGCCUUCAGCCACUUAAGGUUCAGCUCAUUCUGCCACAGGGCAAGAGGUGAGUCAACUCGAGCUUCCCCAGCCCAGUGCUUCAGGUCUCUAAGCAAAAGGGUGGAAGUCAGGCUGACACAGCUGCCGAGACAGGCCUGGGUCUGUGCCCCGAACAAGCAGCCUGUUUCACUGCUUCUCCCUCAAGGAUGCUCAUCCACUUGAUGGUGAUCUCACCCUCAAAGUCGCAUCUGGACAGCUGUGACCUCAGACUCAUCAAGAGUCUAGAAGCAGUUUUACCAGGUUUAUUUCUGACAGCAGUUGUGGAGGCUUUGCUAACUUCCUGAGUAACACACGCAGCUUCAGCAGCCCAACAGCUUUGCUCUCUGCACAAGCUACAGCCCUGAUACAGCAAAUGUGCUCUUUCAGGAGAAAAGCAGCAGAGCACUAACGCUUCGCAGUGUUUCCAAGUAAGAAGAGCCAUCUUCAUGGCUUUUCUAAGAAAAGGGUACUUUCUCAGGUAUUCAAAAUGUUUUCAGGGCCAGAUCACCUGUGGGAGCAAGGGGGCCAUCUGUGUGAAGGCUCUGGGGUUUGACAGCCUGCAGUACCUUGUAGUUGGUAGGGUCAUAAGUCAGUGCAUUUCCAAGAUGUUCAAAUGCCUUCUGGUAAAUGCCGAGCUUGGAGAAAAGCAAACCAGAGAAUUACAUUGCAGGGGAGAUAGCAGUAGGAGACUGGCCAACCACACCCUCAACAGACACACUCUGACUUUUCUGAGUUCUUUUGACAAAAAAAAGAGCUAGAUACCAGAUUUUAAAAAAAGAAAACGAAGAUCCCCACAGUUGUUUGCCCUCCUAUUUUGUUGAUUUGUCCCCUAACAAGGUCAUAGUGGCUAUUUGCCAGGAACCGUCUGGCCACACUAGUGCUUUUCUGCACUAAUGCCUCUUGGCAGGAAAUGGGCUGGUUAGCCUCAUCUCCCCUGGGGCCAACCUCCCGAGCCAAAGCCCAGGAAGGCCCAGGGUUACACUCCCUUUGAAAGAAGAAUGAAACAGACAAAAAGGCCACCACAGUGGCAAAGCUGGAGGCAGGAUCUGCUGAGCAGGGAACUUGGGGGACUGAUAUGGGCAGCGCAGGGAGCGGCCCCUCAGGGAUCCCUGGGCCCCAGGGCCUCGAGCUGAUACAGGAAAGUGAUGGAGCUAAAAGAAUCCCAUACUCUCAGCAAUGUGGAGAGGGGGGAAACUUCUUAUUCUAGAUAAUGCUUUGCCUUCUCUCUUUCCUACAGGGCCCGGCUGAGAAGAACGAACAACAGAACUGGGCUUUGCCAGCCUCGGUAGUAUCGCAAGUGUCUCCUCCCACAAUAAAAUGCCGGCCCCCUGAACACAGUUAUUUCUCAUACAUGUUCUUUCCAUGGUUGGGUAAGAAGUAUGAUUGCACAAGGCUUACAGAUUUAUUUGCUUCUGAUUUGAAUGCAGAAAAUUAAUUCCUUUAGCAGACAGUAUCAAAUGCAGAGAGUAGGGUUCAUGUGCUUUAGUCAGCUGUGUUGAAGUAAAAUAAAAAUGCGGGAAAACACCACACACAGACCCAAUGGCACGUCUAACGUCAGCGCAGGGACAAGCCAAGAAUUCUCCUCACCUGCAAGUAGAGCAAUCCUAAAGUUGUAAGAAGUUCUGUGUUUUCCGGGGAGAACCUGCAACACAGAGAGGCUCAGAGGGAAAGCAGGCGUGUCUAAGACCCUGCUGCGCCGCCCACGCCCCGAGCGGACUCCUGAAGGGAUCUGGGAACUGCCCUCGAAAGCACGUCCCCUCAACCCUACAGGACUUAGACCUCGGACUCCUUUCUCAGGACCCUGUCUGAGUGCCGAAGCCCUCGGAAAGAACCUGUGGAAUAGCCUGCGUCACUGUUUUGGUUACACUAAUAGAAUUAAAGCAUAAUCCUUUAUAAACCAAGUCAGUCUAGAACACACACGGCUUUAGCCACUUCCCUCUAGUGAGAUUUUUUUUGUUGUUCUCACCAGAAAAACAAUGCCAGGCAGCAUGAUUUUCCGUGUAAUUUAGGAUCCCAAGGUCCCUAAUUCUCUGCUCCAUAGUAAACAAAAAGCCAUACUAAACAGCCAAACUAAAAAAGGAAGACACAUACCAGCUCUAGGGAAGAAUUAGCUGUUGGCUUUGGGGAGUAAACACUGGCUUAAGUAAAAGAUUAUCUGCCUUUCCAAUCCCUCACUGAUACUUGUCUUUGUCACAAAACCAAAGCAACACUGAGCGGAGACAAUCUGACCACAGGAUCAUCAGACAGUUUCAACAGUGAAAAUGGCAGGUGAGGAACAACGUCUCCUGUUUCUACGGAAUGAGGUAACACACUAGUCACCUCUGGGGAGACCAGAACCGGAGGGCCAAAGCCCCAGCCAGGGAAGGCCUGCCUGUAGCUGACCCUACACAGAAAACACGGUAGCACGUGUCCGUACAGAGCUUCCUCAGUUCAGCUGAGAACUUGCCCUUCACUUUUUGCCAUAAAUACCCAUUCUGAUCACCCUCCUUCCCCAAACCAAGCACAUAAAACCUCCGUGAUUCUGGUGGCAUCCAUCCCCCACAUAAAACAUGACUACUGUCUCCAAAGCCGUGGGUCAUAAACAACGGUGUCCACAAUCUCAGCGAGGCUCCAGAUGGUCAGCUGUCCUCUUCUCUCCCUUGAGAAUCUCAGCGACUUAAGUAAGUCCUUGACCAGCCACUGGAAGAAUGUGUGAGCUAACGUGAUUUCUGAGCCAACUUCUAGAUUGCAGGAGUCAGGGGUCAAGGCUCCCACCCAGCACCACGGAGGUCUAACACAUGCUACAUUCACUCCCUCCUCCUUGUCCACAUCAACGCAGCCUCUUGAUGACAGAAGUCUUUUCUAGCUUAACGAACCAAAGGAUUUUUAUGUUGUUUUAUCAGUUUAGAUACAAAAUAUGGUUGAAGAAAAUUCAGAAGCAGUGUUCUAAUACAACCAGAAAAGUUACUAUAAUGGUAGAAGACAAGUUAAUUAACAAAUUAAAAGAAAUCUAAGUUUAGUUCAGAGUCUAAUUAUCAGGAAUAAUAGACUCUGUGGCCUUGAAACCAGGCAUUCUAUCAAGUGACCAAACAAGUGAGGCACUGAAGCAUUUUCCUACAGCUACCCCCCUUAAACAAACAAGACCCUACACAGAAAAGACGGUAGCACGUGUCCGUACAGAGUUAACAGAACACCAUACUGGGAAAGCCCAUCAGUUCCAUUAUCGAUAGGGGUUUGGCCACCCUAAUGAUAUUUUUCAAAAACAGGGAUUGGUCUCAAGGCUAAUAAGUCCAGAUCUUUAUUACUGAAUCAGAUUUCUUUCCCUAAUAUCUCUGGGAACACAAAAUCUUCCGUAAAGUUUAAAACCACAAUGGCAGACUGCCAGCUCACUCCCAAAUCAUCUGUUCUCUCCUUCCUCUCGAGUAAGUCUGCCCACCUCCCCUGCAGCUAGGUGUGGCCUCCUCACUCAUUUCGAACCUUAGAAUGUGAGCAGCAACAACGUGCAACUAACUGCCUGUUUUCUGUACUCAGCUUCCCAUACCACCUCCCCCGAGCAUGCCUGGGGCAUGGAUGCUACAACCAUGCAAGUGCAGACGACGACCUAAGGAAUCAGGGGUGAAUGUGGAAGGCACCUGGAUCCCUAACUGACCUUGCAGAGCAGAGCUGCCCAGCGAGGCUAGACCAGCCACACUAACAGAUGGGAAAGAAACAUAAGUCUUCAUCAUUUAAGCCACUGGAAGCUCUAAAUAUUAGCUUAACAUUUACUCUUAACUCAUCCAACUAGUAACCAGUCACAUGUUCUCUCAGCCUUGGGAGUUCAUGACUGCUCCCAUUUCCGUUUCAGUUUCUCACUGCUCUAAAGGAAACAGACACACUUACUCCACUGCUUUCUUGUAGAUUUCGAUGGCCUUGUCCAGGUCUCCCUCCAGCAGGUGGAUCUUGCCCAGCAUUAUGUAGGUCAGAUCAUGCCUGUUCAGAUGCAGGGCAUUGUGCAGCUGGUCUUGUGCCUAACAAGGUUGAUGGAGUGAAGAGACGCACAUCACUACCAUGAAAGGACAGUGACUCUGUGUGGCUAAUGUAAAGACAGAGCCCCUGCUGUCCUAAUGCAGGAACAUCACAUUUCAGCAAACGCCCCACUACCCAAAAAACCGACACACCCAAACUGCUUGCUCCCAGAACAGCUACAACAUGGGGCGCCUGCCUCUAGAGCCACCUGGGGGGUUUGUACAGAAUAAUUAACCUUUUGAGUGUUUCCUGAUUCCUGAUAUUCAUCCUCAUGACUUGUAUGUUAUAAGUCAAGAGGGACAUCAUAGUACAGAGUGAGCAUGGCCCCAAACUCGGCCCCAGCUGCAUCGCUGACUGACUACACACCCUUCCCAAGGGGUGCACCUCAUUUUCCUCACCAACUUUUUUUUAAUUUAAGUAUAGUUGAUUUACAUUUCAGGUGUUGAGUGAUUCAGUUAUAUAUACAUAUAUAUAUUCUUUUUCAGAUUCCUUUCCAUUAUAGAUUACAAGAAAUUGAAUAUAGUUCCCUGUUCUAUACAGCAGGUCCCUGCUGUUUAUCUGUUUUUUUAUAUAAUAGUGUGUAUAUGUUAAUCCCAAACCCCUAAUUUAUCCCUCCCCUCCUUUCCCCUUUGGUAACCGUAAGUUUGUUUUCUAUGUCUGAGUCUAUUUCUGUUUGUAAAUAAAUUCAUUUGUAUCACU